UCCUUCAGUUCUCACAACCACCUCAAGAACUAGCUGCUGGUCUCAUCAGCCACCUGUGAGGAAUGAGGACGGCAGGGCAGCUGCUGAGUCCACACCACCUCAUGUGACCUGCUGGUCAGCUGGAGAUGCCACAGGAACAUGACUCAUCGAGGGGUAAGGACAAGAAAUCGGGCACACGGAAGAAACUGCCAGAGGAGGCCGGUAGCUCCCAGGCGCCUGCCUGGUGUGGCCAGUCCCUGCAGGGCCCCUAGGAGCUGGCAGCGCGACAGGAUAAAUCAGGCCAGCCAUCGCACCUUACAUGGCCGUCCCCAAGGCUGCCCGGAAUCCCUGGGAUUACGCAGACUUGCGGAAGAUUUGGAGCAAGUGCACAAUCACCUGCCGCCCCCACAAGUGUGCCCGGGCUUCUGCAACCCCCGUCUUGUGACCGAGGAAUUUUUAAAUGGAAGCUCUGAGCUCACGGAGAAGAAAAUGUCUCCCUGAUGUCACACAGUUGCUGCCAAUUCAUCAGCGCAAGCUAAAGGUCAGAGAGAGGGAAGCCACGGCUCCAGGGUCCCUCGGCUGCUCCCUCGGCUGGGGCUUCCCUUCCAGCAGGCUUGCCGCCAGCCACCCGGGGCCAGCCCCGGGGAAGCCAAGCUGAGGGCUGUUUGCAUUUCCAGGACACGCACAGAGGCAGUGCUGACUCCACUCGCUGCUUCUGCACUUCCUUUCUCAGACAUUAACCACUUCGUCCUCCCAGCCCUCUCCUGCCACCAGGCUUCUCUGUAGACAGUUUACCUCGUAACAUCAGUACAAUGCUGUCCCGAGGAUCUUUCCCCGGGAUCACUGCAGGGGUAAAACCAAAUUGCACAGAGGUUCUUUUGGUAUUUCAGCAACUAAAUUCAAUGGUCAAAGAGCAGAGACGAGUCCCACAGUGACAAGCUUGGCUCCACUGCUUCCUGGCAGUGUGAUAUUUCCAAGUUAUUUAACCUCCUGGAGCCAUCUUCCUGACCUAGAAGAUGAGGAUCCUAAGAAUAAUUACCUCAUGGUAUUUGAGGAUUCACUAUGAAGCAUGGGUACAGACCCUGGAGUGUAGUGAAUGCUCAAUAAAUGUCAGCUUGGAACCAACCCUCACAGCUUUAACUGGACACAUAAUUUCCUUAUUUGUCCAAUGGGGAUAGGCUGAUGUGUGAUUGACAGAGUCGCUGUGAGGAUUCAGUGAGAACGAAGAGAAAGCAAUUAACACAGCACCUAGCACGGGACAAAUAAAUGGUGACUACUGGGACUAUUGUCUCCAUCAAUCAAAGUGUGAUCUAUAGGGAAGACUCAGCGUAUUCAUUAAUACAACACCUUCUCGGAGCCUGACACAGUCCUUGGGUUC
Capra hircus (goat) is the source of this 1357-nucleotide long non-coding RNA. RefSeq lists it as uncharacterized. The record is from RefSeq and is a predicted model, not a curated record. The transcript has 3 exons. Lineage: Eukaryota; Metazoa; Chordata; Mammalia; Artiodactyla; Bovidae.